RNAcentral lists this ribosomal RNA (1106 nucleotides) under uncultured bacterium. Its description in RNAcentral is "bacterial SSU rRNA". It matches the Rfam family "Bacterial small subunit ribosomal RNA", at positions 1 to 1105 of the family's 1533-position model. The record is from RNAcentral.
AUUGAAGAGUUUGAUCAUGGCUCAGAUUGAACGCUGGCGGCAGGCCUAACACAUGCAAGUCGAACGGUAACAGGAAGUGCUUGCACUUUGCUGACGAGUGGCGGACGGGUGAGUAAUACUUAGGGAUCUGCCUUCGGGAGGGGGAUAACUAUUGGAAACGAUAGCUAAUACCGCAUAACGUCUACGGACCAAAGGGGGCUUUUAGCUCUCACCUGAAGAGGAACCUAAGCGAGAUUAGCUUGUUGGUGAGGUAAAGGCUCACCAAGGCGACGAUCUCUAGCUGUUCUGAGAGGAAGAUCAGCCACACUGGGACUGAGACACGGCCCAGACUCCUACGGGAGGCAGCAGUGGGGAAUAUUGCACAAUGGGGGCAACCCUGAUGCAGCCAUGCCGCGUGUGUGAAGAAGGCCUUCGGGUUGUAAAGCACUUUCAGUCGUGAGGAAAGGUUAGUAGUUAAUACCUGCUAGCUGUGACGUUAGCGACAGAAGAAGCACCGGCUAACUCCGUGCCAGCAGCCGCGGUAAUACGGAGGGUGCGAGCGUUAAUCGGAAUUACUGGGCGUAAAGCGCACGCAGGCGGAUUGUUAAGCUAGAGGUGAAAGCCCCGCGCUCAACGUGGGAAUUGCCUUUAGAACUGGCAGUCUAGAGUCUUGGAGAGGGGAGUGGAAUUCCAGGUGUAGCGGUGAAAUGCGUAGAGAUCUGGAGGAACAUCAGUGGCGAAGGCGACUCCCUGGCCAAAGACUGACGCUCAUGUGCGAAAGUGUGGGUAGCGAACAGGAUUAGAUACCCUGGUAGUCCACACCGUAAACGCUGUCUACUAGCUGUUUGUGUAUUUUAUACGUGAGUAGCGAAGCUAACGCGCUAAGUAGACCGCCUGGGGAGUACGGCCGCAAGGUUAAAACUCAAAUGAAUUGACGGGGGCCCGCACAAGCGGUGGAGCAUGUGGUUUAAUUCGAUGCAACGCGAAGAACCUUACCUACUCUUGACAUCCAGAAAAUUUGGCAGAGAUGCCUCAGUGCCUUCGGGAAUUCUGAGACAGGUGCUGCAUGGCUGUCGUCAGCUCGUGUCGUGAGAUGUUGGGUUAAGUCCCGCAACGAGCGCAACCCU